UUCUUUAUUUUUUUUCUUUCUCUUUCUUUUCUUUCCUUUAUUUUUUUUCUUCCUUCUUUCUUAUUCCUUCGUUCUUUCUUCCCACGUGACCCUUUUCCUUUCCAGCGCACAGCCAUGGCGUGACCUCCUGCCACCCCUGAUUCGAUGGGAUCCCCCCCGAUUCCCCCUCCCCCUUCCUUCCUUCGGCCCCCCUCUGCCCCUAUAUAAACCGCCGCCGCACCACCCCCUCAGACCCCUCCUCCCCUCGCCGUCACGCCGCCUCGCCCCUGCCUCUGUUGCUCGCCGGAGCAACACCACAUGAAUUUUUCCCCGCUCCACCCCGGUCACCACCUCGCCCCCAUGCACCACCGAGACCACCAGCAAGUUCCCCGCAACCACCGCGUCCCAUUUUUCCCCUAGCCCGACCCAUCGCCGCUCCACGCCACCGCACCACCCCUCGCCGGAAUUCGGCCAUCACCAGGAGCUCCAAGAGCUCGAGCUCCCUCGCCUAGGAGCGCCUCUCCCCCCACCAGCGACCCCUUCCACCACCGGCCCCCUCCUCCG
Molecule: long non-coding RNA, 543 nt
Filed under: Hordeum vulgare
Lineage: Eukaryota; Viridiplantae; Streptophyta; Magnoliopsida; Poales; Poaceae
Description: long non-coding RNA (HVUL_LNC021010)
Source: RNAcentral